AUGGAGCACUCAUCUUCUCAAAGCUUCACAAGCAUGAUGAACUCCUCCUUCUCACCUUCAGAUGCACAGAGCCGAAACAACCUACAAAAUCCACAGAGCCCAAUUAGUUUGCAGUACAAUUCUAGUUUCCAUCCCCAUCAUCCACAUAUGAAUUAUCCACCCACACAAUAUAUUCCCAGUUUCCAGCAUCAACACCCACACCAUGCAAAUUUAUAUGCUCAAGGAGGUUACCAACAAGUUCCAUCCAUACCUCUAGGCUACCAUGGUGUUGCUUACCAAGGUAACAUGGGGCAGUACCCUUCGGGAGCAUUUGGAGCAGGCUCAAGUAGCAGUCCAGCUUCUCCUGCUGGAUGCAUACCUUUUCUUGGAUCUGCUAGAGGCACUAGUUCAAGAGGAGUUGAGAACAGUCCAGUUGGAUUUAGUUCUCCCAUGUCACCUGCAUAUCAAGUGGAUGAAGAUCCGGCUGUCAGUAAUCAAGAUGGCAGUGAUAGUAGUCCUGAUGAGAUUCAGAAAAAAGGAAAAGGCAAGAACUGGAGUAAGCGUGAGGAUGAACUUCUCAUAGCAGCUUGGGUGCACAAUUCAUGUGAUCCGAUUGAUGGAAGCUCCAAAAGGGCAGAGACCUAUUGGAAGGAAGUCGCAGCAGAGUACAACAAAUAUGCAACAAAAGAGCAGAAGAAAACAGUUGGGCAAUGCAAGAACCACUGGACCAAGACCACAAAGAAGGUUACAAAGUUCAAUGGUAUCUACAAUGUUGAAAAAAGUACAUGGCCUAGUGGGAGUGAUGACAAGCAACUUAUGGAGAGGGUAUGUGCCAAAUACAUGAGUGUUGCCAAGACAAAAAGACCCUUUCCAUAUGAGCACUGGUGGGAGUACGUGAGGAAAUAG
RNAcentral lists this ribosomal RNA (885 nucleotides) under Triticum aestivum (bread wheat). RNAcentral's name for it is "partial small subunit ribosomal RNA". The record is from RNAcentral. Lineage: Eukaryota; Viridiplantae; Streptophyta; Magnoliopsida; Poales; Poaceae.